RNAcentral lists this transfer RNA (143 nucleotides) under Gemmatimonadota bacterium. Its description in RNAcentral is "Gemmatimonadetes bacterium (marine metagenome) tRNA-OTHER". RNAcentral also lists the same sequence under 1 other name. Lineage: Bacteria; Pseudomonadati; Gemmatimonadota. The record is from RNAcentral.
GGGGCGGUUCCUGCGCCGUAAGGUGACGCUGCGGGUGACGCGGUUUUCGCCGAGUCCACAACCUGUGCCUGCUGCUGCCCUUGCGAUACCCCUGUACCGGCCUGUCGAGCCGGUGGUUGCGGGUUCGAGUCCCGUCCGCCUCG